Molecule: ribosomal RNA, 524 nt
Filed under: uncultured bacterium
Lineage: Bacteria
Description: partial 16S ribosomal RNA
Rfam family: Bacterial small subunit ribosomal RNA
Source: RNAcentral
GACGAACGCUGGCGGCGUGCCUAAUACAUGCAAGUCGAGCGCAGGAAAUCGACGGAACCCUUCGGGGGGAAGUCGACGGAAUGAGCGGCGGACGGGUGAGUAACACGUAAAGAACCUGCCCUCAGGUCUGGGAUAACCACGAGAAAUCGGGGCUAAUACCGGAUGGGUCAUCGGACCGCAUGGUCCGAGGAUGAAAGGCGCUUCGGCGUCGCCUGGGGAUGGCUUUGCGGUGCAUUAGCUAGUUGGUGGGGUAAUGGCCCACCAAGGCGACGAUGCAUAGCCGACCUGAGAGGGUGAUAGGCCAAACUGGGACGGAGACACGGCCCAGACUCCUACGGGAGGCAGCAGUAGGGAAUCUUCCACAAUGGACGAAAGUCUGAUGGAGCAACGCCGCGUGAACGAUGAAGGCCUUCGGGUCGUAAAGUUCUGUUGUAAGGGAAGAACAAGUGCCGCAGGCAAUGGCGGCACCUUGACGGUACCUUGCGAGAAAGCCACGGCUAACUACGUGCCAGCCGCCGCAGUAA